CCUACGGGAGGCAGCAGUGGGGAAUAUUGCACAAUGGGGGAAACCCUGAUGCAGCAACGCCGCGUGAGUGAUGACGGCCUUCGGUUUGUAAAGCUCUGUCUUCAGGGACGAUAAUGACGGUACCUGAGGAGGAAGCCACGGCUAACUACGUGCCAGCAGCCGCGGUAAUACGUAGGUGGCGAGCGUUGUCCGGAUUUACUGGGCGUAAAGGGAGCGUAGGCGGAUUUUUAAGUGAGAUGUGAAAUACUAGGGCUCAACUUGAGUGCUGCAUUUCAAACUGUAAGUCUGGAGUGCAGGAGAGGAGAAUGGAAUUCCUAGUGUAGCGGUGAAAUGCGUAGAGAUUAGGAAGAACACCAGUGGCGAAGGCGAUUCUCUGGACUGUAACUGACGCUGAGGCGCGAAAGCGUGGGGAGCAAACAGGAUUAGAUACCCUUGUAGUC
Molecule: ribosomal RNA, 440 nt
Filed under: uncultured bacterium
Lineage: Bacteria
Description: partial 16S ribosomal RNA
Rfam family: Bacterial small subunit ribosomal RNA
Source: RNAcentral